GAUCAUUCAGGCUCUUAAUGAGGAGAGGCGACUGGUGAGGGUGCACUGCAGUUACAGUGGAGACCCCAGCAUAUUUGACAUGUCAGGAACAUGGGAUCGAUUCUGAGGACAGAAGGCACAGUGGAGUUGAGCUUGCUCAAUGGAGCAAGCCCAGAUGACUUUGUGGUGCUGGCUGCAGUCGUCACAUGGAACACUGAUGUGCCAUGCCCUCUGCCUCCUGUUAGCCUCUCUCCGCUUAAG
Molecule: long non-coding RNA, 240 nt
Filed under: Mus pahari (shrew mouse)
Lineage: Eukaryota; Metazoa; Chordata; Mammalia; Rodentia; Muridae
Description: lncRNA (MGP_PahariEiJ_G0005832.1)
Source: RNAcentral